AUGGGUCACCAGCAGCUGUACUGGAGCCACCCAAGAAAAUUCAGCCAGGGUUCUUGCUCUUGUUGAGUUUAUUCAAACCGGCAUGGUCCGAUCCAGAAAUAUGGCCUCAAUAUGUGCCACCAGUGUUUCCGUCAGUACGCGAGGGAUAUCGGUUUCAUUAAGUUGGACUAAAUGAUCUUCCUUCAAAGGGUUAUCCAAGAUAUCUACCAUGAAAAACCAUGUUAGUUCUUUGUACAUAAAAUAAACAUU
This is a non-coding RNA of Callithrix jacchus (white-tufted-ear marmoset), 249 nucleotides long. The record is from RefSeq and is a predicted model, not a curated record. NCBI's taxonomy places the organism in Eukaryota, Metazoa, Chordata, Mammalia, Primates, Cebidae.